This 492-nucleotide ribosomal RNA is filed under the name uncultured bacterium. RNAcentral's name for it is "partial 16S ribosomal RNA". It matches the Rfam family "Bacterial small subunit ribosomal RNA", at positions 29 to 507 of the family's 1533-position model. The record is from RNAcentral.
AGUGAACGCUGGCGGUGGGCCUAACACAUGCAAGUCGAACGGCAGCACAGUAAGAGCUUGCUCUUACGGGUGGCGAGUGGCGGACGGGUGAGGAAUACAUCGGAAUCUACUUUUUCGUGGGGGAUAACGUAGGGAAACUUACGCUAAUACCGCAUACGACCUACGGGUGAAAGUAGGGGAUCUUCGGACCUUGCGCGAUUGAAUGAGCCGAUGUCGGAUUAGCUAGUUGGCGGGGUAAAGGCCCACCAAGGCGACGAUCCGUAGCUGGUCUGAGAGGAUGAUCAGCCACACUGGAACUGAGACACGGUCCAGACUCCUACGGGAGGCAGCAGUGGGGAAUAUUGGACAAUGGGCGCAAGCCUGAUCCAGCCAUACCGCGUGGGUGAAGAAGGCCUUCGGGUUGUAAAGCCCUUUUGUUGGGAAAGAAAAGCAGCAGGUUAAUACCCCGCUGUUCUGACGGUACCCAAAGAAUAAGCACCGGCUAACUUCGUG